This 593-nucleotide long non-coding RNA is filed under the name Parus major (Great Tit). RNAcentral describes it as "lncRNA (ENSPMJG00000000691.1)". Lineage: Eukaryota; Metazoa; Chordata; Aves; Passeriformes; Paridae. The record is from RNAcentral.
UCUUGAAAAUGACUGUUUUUAAAAUGGCAUGAACCAAGUCAUUAAAGAUACUUUACAGAAGUCUUCAGAAGUUGCGCAUGGUUAUUCAUCUCUGGUUAAGAAGCACAGAAUUUUGUAAAUGCUUCCAGCCCACAUGAUGGUAAAUUUCUUCAUGCAGCCUCCCAAGUCCAGCCUCUCAAGCUCUGGGUGUCAUCGAUGUGGUGUGCUUCUUCCCAGUUCUGGAAAAUGAUACAAAUGAUACCUGUCCUGCUCCCAUGCUAGUUUAUUCAUAGCUGCAUCAUAGUUACAUCACCUCUAUUCUAACCUGCUGGUUUUUUCAGGCUUGUUCCUCGUUUCCUUCCUCAUUCUGACAACUCUGCCUGUACAGACAGGACUAGAUGUACUCACGGCCUCCAUUGUGGUUCCUGCAACUCCGUUCUUUAUUCAGCAAUAGAUGCUAUUGAACUGUUAGCAGAACAGUGGGAAAAUUGGUUGAUUCAGUGGAAAGCUUCAAUAGCAGUAGCAAAAACAGCUUUGGUAAGUAUUCACAAAUGGCAACAUGUCUCUGUGCCUGAUGUCAUUUUUUUAUGAAGUAAUUUACACUGAUGUUUUUU